RNAcentral lists this unclassified non-coding RNA (331 nucleotides) under plant metagenome. RNAcentral describes it as "partial contains small subunit ribosomal RNA, internal transcribed spacer 1, and 5.8S ribosomal RNA". The record is from RNAcentral.
UUUCCGUAGGUGAACCUGCGGAAGGAUCAUUAUCGAGAAGCGAUCUGGGGGAAAGGCGAGCGAGCGAAGUUUGGUAGAUCGUAGGGAUUGUCGCUGGCCUUUGGAAACGAAGGCAUGUGUACGUUCCGAGUUCUCCUUAGUCCUCGUUUACCCUUUCCUUUGGAAAACCUUUAUUUCACACCUGUGCACCUAUUGUAGGUCCCGCGAGGGAUCUAUGUUUUUAUCUACACCACAAGUCCAGAAUGUCUUAAUACGUCGACCGGCCUGGCUAACGCUUGGUUGGCGACGGUAAAUAAUAAUACAACUUUCAGCAACGGAUCUCUUGGCUCUC